UAGCAUAAUCAUUAGUUUUUUAAUUGAAAACUUGUAUGAAUGGUUGGACAAAGAAAAAGCUGUCUCUUUCAUUAAAAUUGAAUUUAACUUCUAAGUGAAAAGGCUUAGAUAUUUUAGAGGGACGAUAAGACCCUAUAAAGCUUUAUAAAUUUAAAGAUUUUAUAUAUUUUUUAUUAUAAUGAUAAUUUCUCAAAAAUUUAUUGGGUUGGGGCAACAAAAGUAUAAUUAUCAAUAACUGCUAUAAAUUACUACAAUUAUUUUUGUUAUUAGAGAGUUGUUGAUCCUCGAAAGGGAUUAAAAGAUCAAGUUACUUUAGGGAUAACAGCGUAAUUUAUCUUGAGAGUUCUUAUCAAAGGAUAAGCUUGCGACCUC
Molecule: ribosomal RNA, 372 nt
Filed under: Portunus pelagicus (sand crab)
Lineage: Eukaryota; Metazoa; Arthropoda; Malacostraca; Decapoda; Portunidae
Description: partial 16S ribosomal RNA
Source: RNAcentral